Molecule: long non-coding RNA, 1736 nt
Organism: Nycticebus coucang (slow loris)
Lineage: Eukaryota; Metazoa; Chordata; Mammalia; Primates; Lorisidae
Exons: 4
Source: RefSeq, a predicted model, not a curated record
GUAGGGGGAACCUCAGAAGCCCGGGGGCUUGUCCUGAGAUUUUACUGGGACUCUGGGCCACAGAUGUGGGCCAUUCCCUGGGAAUAAAGGUUUCUAAGUCUCCUAGAGACACCCAGGUUUUGGAGGAACAUCAAAGGACCACUGGCCUCCGAGAUCUCAGAGUCAAUUCUCCACAAUUUGUCCUGGCCCCAGGGACCCACCAGAUUUUUUAGGGCUAGUGUGCACGUGAAAGUCAUGAAGGAUGUGAGAGACGUGACAGACGUGAAAGUCUUGGGACGCAAGGAAAGGUCACGUUGGCCCCGCGCCCUUGGUACCGGAUGGGCUACCUGUCCUCAAAGUCUAAGGAAGUUACAAGGUUGCUGUCUAGGCCCAGCACAUACCAAGGGAAGGGCAAACAGAUAACAGAGACAUCUGCUGCAGUAGAGGUGCUGCUGUAUAGGAGCUGAGUCACACAUAUAACUUCCCUCCAGAGUUAGCUUAGAGACUCACAGGGAGGUGAUGCCACACAGGAUGGGAUUCAGGUGGUCCCCAGUGCCUGGCCCAGCAAACUGCGGGCGUUUAGAAGUGGUGAAAAACAACAAGAACAUGGUUAUGGGGACCAUCUCUACUCACCUUGCUAUUGUCACCAGGGAGUUCACAUGACCAGCUUACCACAUCUGUGAUCACCCAGCCUUCUCCAGUGGUUUUGCAUCUCAAUCUCUCCCCCACUAAGAAGCAUGAAUGACUCAUCUUGGCCACCACACUUGCUGGCCCUACCUUCAGGUCACUUCUAUCCUGACCCUCUGUCUUUCCUGUAUUUAAAAUGAGGAGAUGAGGAGCAGUCCGAGAUGGUGGGUGUGUGAUGUGUAAUGUCAGCUCUUCUACCCAGAUGUCUUACAGGGGUCAGGGGUCACAAACAGGUGUGGUACUCUGCUCUGAAACCCUCUGCUUUCCCAGCCCCUGUACCCCCAACACACACAGGAUAUGCCAUCCAGGGAAUGGGAGGUACCUCUGCCAGGAACACCUUUCCUCCCUUCACCAUGCCCUGAGCUCCUGCUCCCCUCUUCCAGAGCCCCCCUCGGGGACACCAUCUCUGGUGUCCAAGCACUCUGUCUCUCCUCUGUGUGUACAUGAACCCUGUGCUAUCAAUUACAAUUUACUGGAUUACUUGUCAGCUUACCUCCAAGACACACGAAGGGAAAUGACCUAAUUCACCACAGUGUCUCCACAUGAAACACAGAGCCCGACGUGUAGUAGGUGCUCAGUAAAUGUCUCGUGAAUAAAUAACACAAAAGUGAAAAAGAAGCUUAACCUAAGUAGCUCCAUUUAGCUUCUGACUCCCAGUGGGAAUAUUCUUUAGGUUAAAAACUUGUACAUAGCUCUGCACACAGGCCAUAAGCCAUCUAAUUCUUUAUAAAAUUUAAUUUGCAGUUCAACUGUAAAAAACAAAAAGAUGAUAACCCUCCCUUUCCCAAAGCCACUCCCCAGAGAGAUAAGAAAAGUGUACCCACAAAUAACAGUGACCUUCGUGCUCCAAAGUUAACUGAGUGGGAUCAAAGAAGCUUUACGACCUCCUGGGACCCUCUCUAAUGCUCAGAUGCCUGUGGUCCUGGUUAUCUUUUGUAAAUCCCCCCACCCCAGACUUCCUUCUUCCUUAACAUAAAAAAAGAGUCUGAAGUUCAUACUAAUUUAAGACGGUUCUUUAAGACAUUAGUCCAUUAUUUUCUCCGUUUGCUGGCUCACCAAAUAAAAGUCAU